UAUAUAGUAGUAUGUAUGAUAUUUACAAUUUAUUUUUUAUUACUAUUUUAGUAAUGUAUAUAAAGAGACUAUUAAGGAGGGCUAGCUAUAUAUUAAAGAGAUUAAUUUGUGUUUUAUUAAAUUCUUUUACACAUGCACUCUUAGAGAAAUUCAAUAAUAAACGAAGUGAAUUGAAAUAUCUUAGUAACUUUAGGAAAAUAAAUCAAACGAGAUUCUAUGAUUAGUGUGAAUGAAAAUAGAAAAGCCUAUUUUAAAGAUAUAUUGUAUUAUAUAUCUUUAUAUUAAAAAAGUAAAACGGGCAUAACCUCCAGUUUGAAUACGUCAAAUAAUUGUCUAAUAAAAUUAUUUGACAAAGGGGAACCUUCCUCUAAGGCUAAAUAUAAUAUAUAAGCGAUAGCGUAUAGUACUGUGAAGGAAAGGUUUGAAUUAGUAGUCUUAUAAGCAGCUAAUGCUUUAUUUAAUUAAAAAGUGAUAGCGUACCUUUUGCAUAAUGGGUCAGUAAGUUAAUAUUAGAUGCGAGCAUCAGUGCCCAGAUAAACCAAUUAUGAAUUAAUGAAUUAGUAUCUAAAAUUAGACCCGAAGGCUAGUGAUCUUACCAUAGUCAGGAUUAUAAAAGUCCGAACGGGUUAUCGUUGUAUAGAUAUCCGAAGAACUGUGGUAAGUAAGUGAAAGACAACACUGACUAGUAUAGCUGGUUUUCUGCGAAACCUAUAAAAGUAGGUAAUUUAAGUAACAUCAUAGCAGGUACAGAACUGUGUUCUCAGGCAACUUUUAAGAUAGAAAUUUCUAUUUUAUAUUUUGCAUAUAUCGGGCAAUCGUGAAGAUUUUAUCGGUGAGUAAUCGCACUCGGAAUGGUUAUGAUCUUUAUUAAAUAAUCGGACAUAGUACGCUAAGGUUGUAUGUCUAAAGGGAAACAGCCCAGAACAAGAGUUUAAGGUUCCAAAAUUAUUGUUAAGUGAAAUUAAGGAUGUUUAGUUAAAAUACGGCCAGGAAAUUGGCUUAGAAGCGGUCCAUUUUUUGAAGAUCUCGUAACAGAGCACUGGUUUAGUAUAUUAUUUACAUUAAUUUGAGCACCGAAGAUUUAACGGAUCUAAACAAUAUACCGACACCUUGUCCAUAAAAAUAUAAUAUUUAAUGGGGUAGCAGAACGUUGGGUAAACAUUUAUUGUUUUUAAUAAUAAAUAUAUGAUAACCCAAGUGAUAAUGCUGACAUGAGUAACGAAAAAGGGGAUAUACCCUCGCCUAAAGCUUAUGGUAUUUUAAAAUAAGUAACGGCCUCUAAGUUUACCAACCUAAAGGAUUAAACGAUGAGAAAAUCUUUUAGUUCAUUAGUAACAACCUUCCUUCUUAUAAGAAAAGUUGAGGGAGGUUCUGGAAAAACCGUGACCUAUCUUUAAGAUAAAAACCGUACCUAAAUACCACCGACGGUAAGCUAGUAGAGAAUACGAAGGCGUUUGAGUGAACAAUCCUUAAGGAACUCGGCAAACUAACUACCGUAACUUCGGAAUAAGGAGUGCCAUUCCUCUUCAUUAAUAUGAGGUAAAGAAUAGGAAGCAUGGAAUAGUGUUGUACGACUGUUUAAUUAAAACAAAGCACUCCGCAAUAAGAUAAUAAAUCAAAGUAUUGAGUGUGAUUUCUGCCCGAUGUCGGCCGGUUAACGGAUUUUCUAAGUUGACUAAUAUAAGCUUGGUUUUGAUGGAAACCCCGAUCAAUGGCGGCCUUACCUAUGAGGGUCCUAAGGUAGCGGAAUACCUUGGCCGUUAAAUGCGGUCUUGCAUGAAUGAUUUAACGAUACAACAGCUGUCUCAAGGAUUGGCUCAGUGAAAUUGGAAUAACUGUGCAGAUACAGUUUACCUCUAGAUAGACGAGAAGACCCUAUGCAGCUUUACUGUUACUAGUUAUUAGAUAUGAUAAACAGCAUUUUUAGUGCAUAAGGUAGGUCUUAAUUGACCGAAAUUGAAACACCUUUAUUUAGUUUUUCAUAUUGGUAAAUAUAAUUUACGUGAUAAAUAUACUAUCAUUUCCAAACCAAGAGAGGAACGAUGACUAGGAGGCAGUUUAUGCGGGGCACAGAUCCCAUAAAAAGUACCUGGGUGUAUCCAAAGUUAAUUUUGUAAUUUGGUUAUAAUUUCGUUAUAACAAAUCUAUAAGGGUCUAGCUGCCUAGGCUAAAUAUGAGCCAGGCUAGCGUCGUGCUAAGGGCUUACCCUCUUUAGGUUUUUUUAGUUUGUUAUUAGAGAUAGCUCUUCUUAGAACUAUUACCAAUCCACCUAUAUAUCUAUUGAGUUAGAACUAAAUUUUUUAAUCAAGUAAGAUUUUAUCUAUAUUGAAAAUAGAUGUAAACUAUGUUAUAUUUUCUUCUGGCCAGCUUAGUACCAGAGGCUCUCACUGGUCUUCUAGCCGUGGUCUUUAGAGCUAGCCUGGUUCUAAGCUAGCUUAGAACCAGGCAGAUCCUUUUCUUACAGAACGAACACAGGCCAGUAGGGGGGGGGGACUAGGCCUUGUAGCAAAGGCAGAUGGUUCUCAGCCGGCAAACAAGAGGCGGUCAAGGGAGCAGUACAUAGCGCAAGGCACCAAUUGAACUGGAGAAGAGUGCGCAGCGCAAGCCUCUUGUCAAAGGUCUAGAACUGAGUGGUUCAGAGCUCUUGCGCGCACUAGCGCUCUCUAGGUAUGCAUCGAGUGGAGCAAAGAGGCUAGCCUUCUAGAGCUGGCUCUAGCUACGCUAGAGCAUAGCACCACUCUAGGUUUGCAUCUGCCCUUGUGAGCUCUAGUGCAGAUUUCUCAAGUGCUUUGCAGUUCAGAGCUUGGUUAGGAUUAACUGCAGCCUAGAGCGGUCAAGCUGUGCUCAAGCUGCACUAGGCGAGGAACGCUCUUCUAACGAGGUAAGCAGCAAGGCAAGGAGCCUUUGAAGAGGUGUAGCGGUGAACUAGCGAUGCGCAAGUUCACCUCUCUUACACCGGUAGCCGAUCAUUUAUAUAGGGGGGGGUGAGAGCGCUUGGAGUGGUAAGAGCUGGAUAUUUUUAUAAUAAUUACUUGUCAAGUUUAAUGGCUUAAUCUUGCUUUACUGUUUGAAAGACACGUCUAUCAGUCGCGUAAGCGGGGCAUAUGAUCACAAGAUGCCGAAAGGAAAGGUCUUGGGUUUUUGAAAAAGCUACGCUAGGGAUAACAGGCUAAUUGCGCCAGGAAGUACAAAUUGAGUGCGCAGUUUGGCACCUCGAUGUCGGCUUAACUUAUCCACAUGAACGCAGGAAUCAUGAAGGGUUCGACUGUUCGUCGAUUAAUAAGUUACACGAGCUGGGUUAAAUACGUCGUAAGACAGUAUGGUUUCUAUCUUCUAGAGGAAAUUAGAAUAAAAUAAAGAUAUAUCCCUCGUACGAAAGGAGCUGGGUAUAUUAACCUAUGGUUUACCUGUUGUUUAUGUGCCCAAUAUUAAAGUAAAAUUUCUUAAGUUUUGUUUACUUGCGAGUGCCUUAGCUCUUUUUUUUUACUUUUAGUGCCUUAGCGUAUAAGGCGCAGAAGGGCAAGGCUUUCUCGGGCAAGAGCAGUUCAACGACGCUUGUGGUAGAGCUCGCACUUUUGCACCAGUGGUUCGUUCUUGCCUAUAGGCAGAGCAAGCCUACAACGUAGGCUCUUACCAGAAAAGUGGGGGUCUAGCAGUGCUAGUUCUUCUAGCCGUAGCCUAUAUAAAUAAAAAUACUGGCCAAGCUCUAGUUCAAAUAACUUAUGCUCAAGCUCUAGCCAGGCAAGAGCAAGAGUGGAGGGUCUUGCUUGGGCUCAAGGGCUCCGCCCACAGCCAUGAGCACUAGCGGCAGUUCAUAACUGCCAAGCUCUAGUUCAAAAAAGUGGGACAGGACUAGGUGGCCUUAUGCCAUAGUGGCUAGCUGCUCUCUUCAUCGAGAGGGCGUACAGUUCAACGGCUCCAUGCAAAGAGCAUGAGCACAGCCAUGAACUAGAGUAGGCCUUGCUAGAGCAGUGUAGCGAAGCUAGGCAAGCACGCACUUUCUUAGGGCUGCCUUGGCACUUGCCAAGGGGUGAACUGCAAAGCUUGAACUGGGCUAGGCUUUGCAAAAAGAGGCGCGAUAUAAGGGACAAGCAAAAAAAGAAAACAGCCAUUAGGGUUUACAAAGGAGUCCUACCAGCAAAGGGGGGGUAAAAGGAGGGCAUGGAUGUUACUAACACUUUAGUAGAUAUAUAACAUAGGCACGGCAGGAACGCUAUGUUAGUUAAAAUAAGUGCUGAAAGCAUAUAGGCACGAAGUUUACUUUAAUAUAUUCUUAAAUAUACGUCUGAUAAUAAGACGAAUUAAUUUUUUUAGAAUAAAAAAGAGCUCUAGCUGCAAGGCAGGCACAUAGCUAGCACUGGGAGCCGUCGCAAGCAAGUCGGCG
This 4384-nucleotide ribosomal RNA is filed under the name Golovinomyces cichoracearum. RNAcentral describes it as "large subunit ribosomal RNA". The stretch from base 51 to 2235 matches the Rfam family "Bacterial large subunit ribosomal RNA". Lineage: Eukaryota; Fungi; Ascomycota; Leotiomycetes; Helotiales; Erysiphaceae. The record is from RNAcentral.